GGGGGGGGGGGGGGGGGGGGGGGGCGGGGGCGGGGCGGGGGGGGGGGCCCUGCGGUGGUGGGGUGCGCGGGUGGCGAGGGGGUGAGUCGCGCGUUAGUGGCCUGCGCUUGACUUUGGGGUGACUUCAGGAAGCUGGGGCUAAUACCGGAUAGGAGCUCCUGCUGCAUGGUGGGGGUUGGAACGUUUCGGCGGUUGGGGCUGGACUCGCGGCUUAUCAGCUUGUUGGUGGGGUAGUGGCUUACCAAGGCUUUGACGGGUAGCCGGCCUGAGAGGGUGACCGGCCACAUUGGGACUGAGAUACGGCCCAGACUCCUACGGGAGGCAGCAGUGGGGAAUAUUGCACAAGGGGCGGAAGCCUGAUGCAGCAACGCCGCGUGCGGGAUGACGGCCUUCGGGUUGUAAACCGCUUUCGCCUGUGACGAAGCGUGAGUGACGGUAAUGGGUAAAGAAGCACCGGCUAACUACGUG
RNAcentral lists this ribosomal RNA (468 nucleotides) under uncultured bacterium. RNAcentral's name for it is "partial 16S ribosomal RNA". The stretch from base 52 to 468 matches the Rfam family "Bacterial small subunit ribosomal RNA", at positions 39 to 507 of the family's 1533-position model. The record is from RNAcentral.